AGUGAACGCUGGCGGUAGGCCUAACACAUGCAAGUCGAACGGCAGCACAGUAAGAGCUUGCUCUUACGGGUGGCGAGUGGCGGACGGGUGAGGAAUACAUCGGAAUCUACUUUUUCGUGGGGGAUAACGUAGGGAAACUUACGCUAAUACCGCAUACGACCUACGGGUGAAAGCAGGGGAUCUUCGGACCUUGCGCGAUUGAAUGAGCCGAUGUCGGAUUAGCUAGUUGGCGGGGUAAAGGCCCACCAAGGCGACGAUCCGUAGCUGGUCUGAGAGGAUGAUCGGCCACACUGGAACUGAGACACGGUCCAGACUCCUACGGGAGGCAGCAGUGGGGAAUAUUGGACAAUGGGCGCAAGCCUGAUCCAGCCAUACCGAGUGGGUGAAGAAGGCCUUCGGGUUGUAAAGCCCUUUUGUUGGGAAAGAAAAGCAGCAGGUUAAUACCCCGCUGUUCUGACGGUACCCAAAGAAUAAGCACCGGCUAACUUCGUG
This 492-nucleotide ribosomal RNA is filed under the name uncultured bacterium. Its description in RNAcentral is "partial 16S ribosomal RNA". It matches the Rfam family "Bacterial small subunit ribosomal RNA", at positions 29 to 507 of the family's 1533-position model. The record is from RNAcentral.